GUAAAUGAUUUGUGUUUGAAGGAUUGUUCAAAUUCAACAUAUUUUCUUCUUUGAUUAAUGAAAAUUCUUUUUUAGAUCCUUCUUAAUCAAUUGUACAUUGAAUUCUGAAUCCUAUGAUGUUUGGCAUGGAAGAAUUUCAAAUCUAUUCAAAAGAUAUUUGUUGCGGCCAAUCUCCUAUCGCUUGUUGCCAGUGAAGAGUACCUACAAAAUGAAGUCCUUAC
Molecule: long non-coding RNA, 221 nt
Filed under: Elaeis guineensis (African oil palm)
Lineage: Eukaryota; Viridiplantae; Streptophyta; Magnoliopsida; Arecales; Arecaceae
Description: long non-coding RNA (EGUI_LNC020652)
Source: RNAcentral